Molecule: long non-coding RNA, 335 nt
Organism: Canis lupus familiaris (dog)
Lineage: Eukaryota; Metazoa; Chordata; Mammalia; Carnivora; Canidae
Exons: 3
Source: RefSeq, a predicted model, not a curated record
CCUUUUUCCAAUCACUUUGCUGAUGUAACAUUGCAUCAGCUGUAGAUUCUGUAGAAACUGAAGAUUUACAGGUGGGAUCCACUCUUCCCCCAAAAUAGUGGGGGAACUCUGGAAACUUUUCUCAUUUAACAAAUAUGUGAAAACAUUGCUGACUCCUGCUCUAGGAUGUUCAUCAACACAGAUGAUGACCUGGGCUCGCACCAGCGUUCCUGCAAGCCAAUGAAGAGCAUGCAUGGAAAGAUCGGGCUUCACCAAAACACCCGAGUCCAGUAAGAUGCUUCAACAAGAUUGUGUUCUCUGGAAGAUGUGGGAAAUAUUCAAUAUCAUAAAAAUAG